RNAcentral lists this ribosomal RNA (668 nucleotides) under uncultured fungus. RNAcentral describes it as "eukaryotic LSU rRNA". It matches the Rfam family "Eukaryotic large subunit ribosomal RNA", at positions 24 to 664 of the family's 3401-position model. Lineage: Eukaryota; Fungi. The record is from RNAcentral.
CCCGCUGAACUUAAGCAUAUCAAUAAGCGGAGGAAAAGAAACUAACAAGGAUUCCCCUAGUAACUGCGAGUGAAGCGGGAAAAGCUCAAAUUUGAAAUCUGGCGGUUCUUGACCGUCCGAGUUGUAAUCUAGAGAAGUGUUACCUGUGCUGGACCGUGUAAAAGUCUUCUGGAAUGGAGCAUCAUAGAGGGUGAGAAUCCCGUCUUUGACACGGACUACCUGUACAUUAUGGUGCGCUCUCAAAGAGUCGAGUUGUUUGGGAAUGCAGCUCAAAAUGGGUGGUAAAUUCCAUCUAAAGCUAAAUAUUGGCGAGAGACCGAUAGCGAACAAGUACCGUGAGGGAAAGAUGAAAAGCACUUCGGAAAGAGAGUUAAACAGUACGUGAAAUUGUUGAAAGGGAAACGUUUGAAGUCAGUCGCGUCGGCCGAGACUCAACCUUGCCAUCUCGGCUCGGUGCAUUUCUCGGUUGACGGGUCAGCAUCAAUUUCGGGCGUCGGAUAAAGGCUGAGGGAACGUGGCAUCCUUCGGGGUGUGUUAUAGCCCUCGGUUCGCAUACGACGAUCGGGAUUGAGGAACUCAGCACGCCUUCAUUGGUCGGGGCUUCGGCUCACGUUAACGUGCUUAGGAUGCUGGCGUAAUGGCUUUAAGCGACCCGUCUUGAAACACGG